RNAcentral lists this ribosomal RNA (405 nucleotides) under uncultured Bacillota bacterium. RNAcentral describes it as "uncultured Firmicutes bacterium partial 16S ribosomal RNA". It matches the Rfam family "Bacterial small subunit ribosomal RNA", at positions 355 to 774 of the family's 1533-position model. Lineage: Bacteria; Bacillati; Bacillota. The record is from RNAcentral.
UGGGGAAUAUUGGGCAAUGGGGGAAACCCUGACCCAGCAACGCCGCGUGAGUGAAGAAGGUUUUCGGAUUGUAAAACUCUUUCAUAUGGGACGAAAAAAAUGACGGUACCAUAAGAAGAAGCCCCGGCUAACUACGUGCCAGCAGCCGCGGUAAUACGUAGGGGGCAAGCGUUGUCCGGAAUAACUGGGCGUAAAGGGAGCGUAGGCGGUCCUUUAAGUUGUCUGUGAAAUACCCGUGCUCAACAUGGGGGUGUCAGACAAAACUGGAGGACUAGUGUGUAGGAGAGGAAAGCGGAAUUCCUAGUGUAGCGGUGAAAUGCGCAGAUAUUAGGAGGAACACCAGUGGCGAAGGCGGCUUUCUGGACUAUUACAGACGCUGAGGCUCGAUAGCAUAGGUAGCAAACA